ACCCCACCCAAAUAAGCCGGCCGUGGUCAAUGUCAAGUGUUGCUAUGGUGUGCUCGUGGUGGGAACAGUAAGCCUGAAAUGUGUAUGGCUAUUUGUGUGAUUACAUUUUAGCCAAAGGAAAUUCAGAGACA
Cryptotermes secundus is the source of this 131-nucleotide small nucleolar RNA. RefSeq annotates it as small nucleolar RNA snoR639/H1. The record is from RefSeq and is a predicted model, not a curated record. The transcript has a single exon. NCBI's taxonomy places the organism in Eukaryota, Metazoa, Arthropoda, Insecta, Blattodea, Kalotermitidae.